Molecule: non-coding RNA, 570 nt
Organism: Cicer arietinum (chickpea)
Lineage: Eukaryota; Viridiplantae; Streptophyta; Magnoliopsida; Fabales; Fabaceae
Source: RefSeq, a predicted model, not a curated record
UUCAACACAAGCUGGCAUAAAGCAAACAAAUUUGAAAAACACGGAUUUGAAAACAUGGCACGCAAAGAAAACUGAAGCUGAGCAUCGUAAUAGAAAAACAAACUCCAUUUUAAGCUUUAUUAACACAUAGAAUGCUCUCAACCAAAAAACAAGACAUCCACACAAAUAAAGCAAAAUUCUAUCUUUCAAAUAAAACAACUCUAGUUUCAUAUUUUAGCUUCCAAUCUAAUAAUAUAAAGUUCGAAAAGCUGUAAAUGUGAAGAUAAUGAGAAGAUACAUGCCUUUUCAGAUACUGGUGAAGACAAAAACGGUGGUGUGCGGUGGAAGUUAGAACGACGUUAAAACAUGAACAAAUGUACCAAUAAGCAUGGCUUUUGCAUCAAUGGCAGUCAUCAUCAAAAAAACAGGGGUUGAAAGUGAACAAAGUCAACAUAGCAUGGCUUGAUCUGAUUUAAUUUUUAUUGUAAUUUAUUUUUGCCUUUAUUCUUAGUUUGUAAUUUGAUUUGGUUUUAAAACUCUAAUUAGAUUUGAAAUUGUAAAUUUAUAAUACAUAAUGAAAUUAUUUAUUGU